CCAACAUGGAUACACCGGGAGGUCACUCUCCCUGGGCUCUGCCCAGGUGGUAGAGGGGAGCAUAGGGCUCUGCUCCAUGAUAUACAGUCCCUUUCCACAAUACUAGAGAAGAAGCUGGGCCUUGUGUCUAUGUCUGCAUAUUCCUACAACUUCUCAGAGUCCAUUGGGCAGUGACUGAGGAGAUAAACCAUGCAGGAAACAAAG
Cavia porcellus (domestic guinea pig) is the source of this 204-nucleotide small nucleolar RNA. Its record names the gene SNORA73. It matches the Rfam family "Small nucleolar RNA SNORA73 family". From Rfam's summary of the family: U17 (SNORA73A and SNORA73B) also known as E1 belongs to the H/ACA class of small nucleolar RNAs (snoRNAs). Vertebrate U17 is intron-encoded and ranges in length from 200-230 nucleotides, longer than most snoRNAs. The record is from Ensembl. Lineage: Eukaryota; Metazoa; Chordata; Mammalia; Rodentia; Caviidae.